AGAGCGAACGCUGGCGGCAGGCUUAACACAUGCAAGUCGAGCGCUCGUAGCAAUACGAGAGCGGCAGACGGGAGAGUAACACGUGGGAACGUACCCUUCGGUUCGGAACAACCCAGGGAAACUUGGGCUAAAUACCGGAUACGUCCGUAAGGAGAAAGAUUUAUCGCCGAAGGAUCGGCCCGCGUCUGAUUAGCUAGUUGGUGAGGUAACGGCUCACCAAGGCGACGAUCAGUAGCUGGUCUGAGAGGAUGAUCAGCCUCACUGGGACUGAGACACGGCCCAGACUCCUACGGGAGGCAGCAGUGGGGAAUAUUGGACAAUGGGCGCAAGCCUGAUCCAGCCAUGCCGCGUGGGUGAUGAAGGCCCUAGGGUUGUAAAGCCCUUUCGGCGGGGAAGAUAAUGACGGUACCCGCAGAAGAAGCCCCGGCUAACUCGUGCCAGCAGCCGC
Molecule: ribosomal RNA, 448 nt
Filed under: uncultured bacterium
Lineage: Bacteria
Description: SSU rRNA
Rfam family: Bacterial small subunit ribosomal RNA
Source: RNAcentral